GAGGGUAUAGCUCAAGUGGUAAAGUGCAGGCUUAGCAAGCAUGAGGUCCUGGGUUCAAUCCCCAGUACCUCCA
RNAcentral lists this transfer RNA (73 nucleotides) under Camelus bactrianus (Bactrian camel). It matches the Rfam family "tRNA". Rfam says of the family: Transfer RNA (tRNA) molecules are approximately 80 nucleotides in length. Their secondary structure includes four short double-helical elements and three loops (D, anti-codon, and T loops). Lineage: Eukaryota; Metazoa; Chordata; Mammalia; Artiodactyla; Camelidae. RNAcentral also lists the same sequence under 2 other names. The record is from Rfam by way of RNAcentral.